AUUUAUUUAGUUUAAAAAACAUUUUAUUUUCAUUAAAAAAAAGGAUUACACCAAUAAAUA
Molecule: transfer RNA, 60 nt
Filed under: Krisna nigromarginata
Lineage: Eukaryota; Metazoa; Arthropoda; Insecta; Hemiptera; Cicadellidae
Description: tRNA-Glu
Source: RNAcentral